This 492-nucleotide ribosomal RNA is filed under the name uncultured bacterium. RNAcentral describes it as "partial 16S ribosomal RNA". It matches the Rfam family "Bacterial small subunit ribosomal RNA", at positions 29 to 507 of the family's 1533-position model. The record is from RNAcentral.
AGUGAACGCUGGCGGUAGGCCUAACACAUGCAAGUCGAACGGCAGCACAGUAAGAGCUUGCUCUUACGGGUGGCGAGUGGCGGACGGGUGAGGAAUACAUCGGAAUCUACUUUUUCGUGGGGGAUAACGUAGGGAAACUUACGCUAAUACCGCAUACGACCUACGGGUGAAAGCAGGGGAUCUUCGGACCUUGCGCGAUUGAAUGAGCCGAUGUCGGAUUAGCUGGUUGGCGGGGUAAAGGCCCACCAAGGCGACGAUCCGUAGCUGGUCUGAGAGGAUGGUCAGCCACACUGGAACUGAGACACGGUCCAGACGCCUACGGGAGGCAGCAGUGGGGAAUAUUGGACAAUGGGCGCAAGCCUGAUCCAGCCAUACCGCGUGGGUGAAGAAGGCGUUCGGGUUGUAAAGCCCUUUUGUUGGGAAAGAAAAGCAGCAGGUUAAUACCCCGCUGUUCUGACGGUACCCAAAGAAUAAGCACCGGCUAACUUCGUG